This 442-nucleotide ribosomal RNA is filed under the name uncultured bacterium. RNAcentral's name for it is "partial 16S ribosomal RNA". It matches the Rfam family "Bacterial small subunit ribosomal RNA", at positions 338 to 795 of the family's 1533-position model. The record is from RNAcentral.
CCUACGGGUGGCAGCAGUGGGGAAUAUUGGGCAAUGGGCGCAAGCCUGACCCAGCAACGCCGCGUGAAGGCAGAAGGCUUUCGGGUUGUAAACUUCUUUUGUCAGGGAAGAGUAGAAGACGGUACCUGACGAAUAAGCCACGGCUAACUACGUGCCAGCAGCCGCGGUAAUGCGUAGGUGGCAAGCGUUAUCCGGAUUUACUGGGUGUAAAGGGCGUGUAGGCGGGAGUGCACGUCAGAUGUGAAAACUAUGGGCUCAACCCAUAGCCUGAGUUUGAAACUGUACUUCUUGAGUGCUGUAGAGGCAAUCGGAAUUCCGUGUGUAGCGGUGAAAUGCGUAGAUAUACGGAGGAACACCAGUGGCGAAGGCGGAUUGCUGGACAGUAACUGACGCUGAGGCGCGAAAGCGUGGGGAGCAAACAGGAUUAGAUACCCGAGUAGUC